UAUAUAAACCCAGCCUAUCUACCCGACACAACCCCAUUAUUCUCUCUCGCUCUGCCUCUCUCCGUCGAAUCCUCACCGCUCGUCCUUCUCCUCCUCGACACCACUGCGAUUUCCUCUUCCCCAAACCUAAGUCGUUUAGGAAAUAGAAGCCAUAAACCUCUAUCAUCUUCAAUCGUUCAAUCUUCAACCUCGUCCUAGAGGAAUUAACCCUUCCGUCGAAACCCUAAACCGAGAGAAGUUCUGCCAAAGAAGAUCUGAAAUUGUCCACCAUUCAAGCAAAAAAAAUACGUACCCGAGGCCAAAGAAGAAGAAAAACAUCUAAUAGCAGAGAUUCGAAGUCUGAUUAUUGCUAAAACAUACAAAUAAAGAAUAUCGGCUGAAAAGAUAAGUGAAUUCCAAUGAUUUAAACUAUAUUUUUGUUGGUCUGUUUUCUAGAUGAUGAUUACGCUUAAUUUACAUCUUUGGUUAACAGUUGAUUGUUUUUUAUUUAUUAAUAAUUAAUGAUAUGAAACCCUAAAUCAUUUAUAUUACACAUACGCACCUAAGUCUGAAUAGAACAACUCAUCGUGAAUGAACAAUUUGAAAUUCAAAUUACUCCUGAAAAAUAGAAAAAAAACUACACCUACUGAACACAUAAGUAAAAUCUUCAAUUUUUUUUUUUAAAUUUUUACUAACUGUGUUUCUCUUUUAUCAAUAUAUAUAUACAUCUUAAUUCAUUUGUUGUCUUGUAUAUUAAUUCCUGUCAGUAGUGUUAUUUACUUGAAAAUUUUAUUUAUACUGUAUACAGUAAUAUAAAAUUCUUUUUGUACCUUUAUUUGAAUGACCAUACUUUCUUUUGCAACCAAUGGUGGUAGAUUUUUCUAACUUUCUCAUCAUUCUUUGAGUUGCUGCCUUGCAUGAACAGUCACAGAGAACCUGAAGUUUGAAAGUAGCCUUUAAGUUUUGGAUGUUUAUUUAUAUAGAAGCAAUAGCACUUGAUUACCUUAUUAAAGCACUGUUCUAUUCUUGUAAAGGAUUACUAUUUUCUAGACUUGUGUUAAAGAAGUGAAUUACCUUUUUAUUCCGAAUGUAA
Ipomoea triloba (trilobed morning glory) is the source of this 1072-nucleotide long non-coding RNA. RefSeq lists it as uncharacterized. The record is from RefSeq and is a predicted model, not a curated record. The transcript is spliced from 2 exons. Lineage: Eukaryota; Viridiplantae; Streptophyta; Magnoliopsida; Solanales; Convolvulaceae.